GGAGAUGUACCAAGUGGCUGAAGGGUCCGCACUCGAAAUGCGGUAGACCGGGCAACCGGUGCGAGGGUUCAAAUCCCUCCAUCUCCG
Molecule: transfer RNA, 87 nt
Filed under: Ruminococcus sp. AF21-3
Lineage: Bacteria; Bacillati; Bacillota; Clostridia; Eubacteriales; Oscillospiraceae
Description: tRNA-Ser
Rfam family: tRNA
About the family: Transfer RNA (tRNA) molecules are approximately 80 nucleotides in length.
Source: RNAcentral